Daktulosphaira vitifoliae (grape phylloxera) is the source of this 523-nucleotide long non-coding RNA. RefSeq lists it as uncharacterized. NCBI's taxonomy places the organism in Eukaryota, Metazoa, Arthropoda, Insecta, Hemiptera, Phylloxeridae. The transcript has 2 exons. The record is from RefSeq and is a predicted model, not a curated record.
CCUUGUGGUGCACGUAACAAGUAUACCAUUGUUAUUGGUAUUUACUAUUUUAACAUUUACAGUAGGCGAACUACAAAAUUAUUUUAUUUAUUGAAAUAUUUUUAUAUUUUAGAAAAGAAAAAAAUUCAAUAUGUUGUCUCUCAAUGCUAUACAAACAUUAAGGCGAUUUUCGACUUCGGUUGUUAGAAGAGGCCAUGGAUACGAAGGUCCUGGAAAAAAUUUGCCAUUUGAUGUCUACAGCAAGUACAAAUUUACUCUGUAUUAUGCACUAUUCUUUAGUUCUGGUUUUGGUCUACCAUUCUGGAUGGUGAGAUACGUUCGCAAAAGGAGCGGUUAAUUAAUAUGUCAAAUACUUAAUCAAUUGGUAAAUAAUGUUAUAUAAAUUAGACUUACAAUCAUUCCAAAAUAUAUAUUCAUUAUUUAAGUUAAUCGCUGUUCCAACUUUGUAGAAAUUAAAAAAUUAAAAAAUAUUUUUAUAAACUAAUGUAGAAAAUAAAGUUGAUAAUUUACUUUAUAGAAGUGA